UACAGAGACCUCAAGCGUUAUCCGGAAUCAUUGGGCGUAAAGCGUACCGAUAGGUGGUUUUACAAGUCAGAAGUGAAAUCUCUCAGCUUAACUGGGAGACUGUCUUUUGAAACUGUAAAACUAGAAGGGCAAAGAGGAAGCUGGAACAAACGGUGUAGUAGUGAAAUGCGUUGAUAUCGUUUGGAACACCAAUAGCGUAGGCAGGCUUCUGGGUGCCACUUGACACUGCUAGGACGAAAGCGUGGGGAGCGAUAAGG
This 257-nucleotide ribosomal RNA is filed under the name uncultured bacterium. RNAcentral describes it as "partial 16S ribosomal RNA". It matches the Rfam family "Bacterial small subunit ribosomal RNA", at positions 524 to 776 of the family's 1533-position model. The record is from RNAcentral.